AACACUUCAUGAUAAAGAACUUGCAUGGGCUGAAAUUUGCAAGAGAUAUAACGAUUCUUCCAUGAUUAUGCAAGAACGUACAGUUCAACAGCUAAAGAAACUCUGGACAAA
Harpegnathos saltator (Jerdon's jumping ant) is the source of this 111-nucleotide long non-coding RNA. RefSeq lists it as uncharacterized. The record is from RefSeq and is a predicted model, not a curated record. NCBI's taxonomy places the organism in Eukaryota, Metazoa, Arthropoda, Insecta, Hymenoptera, Formicidae. The transcript is spliced from 2 exons.